CAGCAGACCCUUAUACCGGCCAGGUCCCUUCCUUGUAGGAGCCCAGAGUACAACAGCUGCAAACAGCAGCCUGCUCAGCAGUGUAUCCAUUCUGCUACUUGUGCAGAUUGUCCAAGUGACCUUGGAGACAGCC
RNAcentral lists this small nucleolar RNA (133 nucleotides) under Neotoma lepida (desert woodrat). RNAcentral describes it as "Small nucleolar RNA SNORA70". It matches the Rfam family "Small nucleolar RNA SNORA70". From Rfam's summary of the family: snoRNA U70 seems to be exclusive to mammals and is a member of the H/ACA class of snoRNA which contain H (ANANNA) and ACA box motifs. Lineage: Eukaryota; Metazoa; Chordata; Mammalia; Rodentia; Cricetidae. The record is from Rfam by way of RNAcentral.